RNAcentral lists this long non-coding RNA (3570 nucleotides) under Sus scrofa (pig). RNAcentral describes it as "lncRNA (ENSSSCG00070029805.1)". Lineage: Eukaryota; Metazoa; Chordata; Mammalia; Artiodactyla; Suidae. The record is from RNAcentral.
GCUGACGUCAGUCACGUUCUCCUCUCGCCCGCGUCGACGCUUCCGGCCGGUUUGGGCUUUUCUUCCACCAGGCGGCGCUGCAGGACGUUGUGUGGCUGACGCCUCCUGCGCAGGCGCAUUGAAUUCCCGGACACGUCACCACCUUCGCGUCUUUUCUGGAGAGCGCGGGAAGGCGAGAACAGGAGGGCGGUGACGUCACCGGGGUUCCCCGCGUGGCACGCGGGGGGCGGGGGGGUUGGGGACGUGGCGCGCGGCGUGGGGGGUGGCGCCGAGCGCAGGCUCCGCUGGGGCUGACGGGGCCGCGCCUACUGCCGACUCUCCGGCGCUGCCUCGUGACCCGCUGUGGGGCCCGGGCGGGCCAGGGCGGCGGGCCGAGCUGCGGGAAAGACACCGAGAUGAACCCAGCAGGCAAGCUGGCAGGAAGUCAGACUGCGGCCCUUGCCUGAGAGGAUGACACAGGCCAAAGGAGAGAAGGAAAACAACAAGGCAGCCAGAGCUACCACCCCAGGAGUCCAGAGGCCUGGUGCCCCGCAGGUUUCAUUGAAAAAUGGAUGCAGACUGCCCUCCAAGAAUGUCCAAGGCGUAUGGAAGAGCGAAAAGGACAGGAAUUUUAUUUUAUUUUGCUUUUUUUUUUUUUUUUUUUGCUUUCUAGGUCCACACCCAGGGCAUAUGGAAGUUCCCAGGCUAGGGGUUGAAUCAGAGCUACAGCUGCCAGUCACAGCCACAGCCACAGUAACAUGGGAUCUGAGGUGUGUCUGCAACCUGUACCACAGCUCACGGUAACGCCGGAUCCUUAACCCACUGAGCAAGGCCAGGAAUAGAACCCAUAACCUCAUGGAUCCUAGUUCGGCUUGUUAACCGCUGAGCCAUGAAGGGAACUUCUGAAUUUUUGCAUAUAUUUACUUUUGUGAAUUGGUAAUUCAUAUACAUGGCUCAAAACUAAAACAGUAUUAAAAGGUGUAUAGUGAAAAGUCUCUCCUGUUCCUGUGCCCUGUCUGCCCAUUUCUCCCAUUCCAAAUAGAAAACUCUGUUACUAGGUUUUUGUUUAUUUCUCUAAUGAUGUUUGUAUGCAUAUACUAGCUGAAACAAAUGUAUACUCUUCUUUAUUCCAUUUUAACAUUAAAUAGUGCCAUGCAAUACACACCUUCCGCACCUUGUUGGGUCCCCCCAGCACAAUUAACACAAUUUCUUAGAAACAUUUCCUUAUAAGUAUGUAGAGAGCAUUCUCAUUUUUAUUUUUAUGGCUGCAGAGCUUUACAUUGUAUGAAUGUAUACUAUAAUUCAACUGGUUGCCCUAAUGGGCAUUUAGAUUAUUUCCAGUCAUUUGGUAUUACAAAAAGGGAAUGGACCUUACAAAGAGAUGUUCAUUCAAAUCCUAGCCUGACUUUGGGCCUUCAUUGCCUCAUUGGUAAAAUGGGGAUUAUUUUAUGUUUUUAUUGUCUGUCCCAUAACAUUUUUGUGAAUGAUUAGAUAAUUAUAAUGUACAAAGAACUUGAGAUAUAGUAAGUGCUCAAUGUAGACAAUAUACCUUUCGACUGGGCAUGUUAUAAUUUAAUCUUGAAAAAGAAUAUACUUUUAUUGCUCCUAAUGAGAGUAAUCAUAUAAAUAGGGGUCCAUUCGGAGCCGUAGCUGCUGGCCUAUGCCAGAGCCACAGCAACACCAGAUCCGAGCCAUGUCUGUGACCCACAUCACAGCUCAUGGCAAAGCUGGAUCCUCAACCCACUGGACAAGGCGAGGGAUCGAACCUACAAACUCAUGGUUCCUAGUGGGAUUCGUUAAGCACUGAGCCACAACGGGAACUCCUUUUCUCAUUGUUUUAACUGAGAGCUCUUAUUUCUUUUUCUAGUUUUACUGCAGUAGCUAGAAUUUCUAAAAAGACUUUUUUUGUUGUUGUUUUUAGGGCCACACCCAAGGCAUAUGGAGGUUCCCAGACUAGGAGGUCCAAUCGGAACUAUAGCUGCUGGCCUGCACCACAGCCACAGCAAUGCAGGAUCUGAGUUGCCUCUUUGACCUAUACCACAGCUCACCACACCACCAUAUCCUUAACCCACUGAGUGAGGUCAGUGAUCCAACCUGCAUCCUCAUGGAUGCUAGUUGGGUUCGCUAACCACUGAGCUGAGCCACAAUGGGAACUCACUAAAAAGAUAUUUUAAAAUAGUAAGUAUUCUUUCCUUUUUCUAGACUUUAAAGGAAUAAUUCUAGAAUUCUCCAUUAAGUAUAAUCAAGGUAUUGGUUUGCAAACUUUUACAAAAAGAUUCUAUGAUUUUCAAAUCAUAAAAAAGAGGUCUUCUAUCAAUAUUUUUGCUCCUAGAUAUGAAAUUAAUUAGAUCAUUGCUAAAACAAACGAAAACCACCAAAAACUGAACUAAUUCACUCUUUUUUGCUUUGUUUUGUCCUGCUUACUGAAUUGUUAUUUUUAGGGGUUAGAAUCAAGCAACAAGUACCUACUCUGUAAUCUAUAUUUUAGAGGGCUACAUAUAUCACAAACACAUGAAAUAAUUGUUUAAGGAACUCACAGAAAUCUUUGUCACUUAGUAUCUUAUACUCAGCACAAGUCCAGUUGCACUCAUAACCCUAAACAUCUACUCCCUGACUAACUGUAUUCAGACCUUUGAAAACGCUCUUCUCCAUCUCUUUACCUGUGUCCUCACAACAAAACAGGAUGGCAUCCAAAUGCUAUGAAUGUUGUGGGUUUUGUGCUUCUAUGUUGGACAGUUGCUUUGGAGUUCAGAAAGAAUAUGAGGCACAGACCACUUUGUUAAGAGAAAAAACAAAUUAAUUGUUGGGUCCUUCUUCUCAGAUAGCAGGUGUAUUAGUUUCCUAUUGCUGCUGUUACGAAUUACCACGCAUUGAGUGGCUUAAAACAAUACAAUUUUAUUAUCUUACAGUUCUGGGGAUCAGGAGUCCUAAAACUGAGGUGUCAGCAAGUCUCUGUUCCUUCCGGAUGCUCACAGGGAGAAUCUGGCUUUUUGCCUUCUGUAGCUUCUGAAGGCUGGUAUUUCUUUGCUUAUGGCCCCAUCCUUUUUUUUUUUUUUUUUUUUUCCUUAGGGCUGCACCCACAGCAAAUAGAGGUUCCCAGGUUAGGGGUCGAACUGGAGCUGUAGCUUCCAGCCUACAUCACCACAGCUACAGCAACAUGGGAUCCAAGCUGCUUCUGUGACCUAUACCACAGCUUGUGGCAAUGCCGGAUCCUUAACCCACUGAUCAAGCCAGGGAUCGAACCUGCAUCUUCAUGGAUACUAGUCAGAUUCAUUUCCUCUGAGCCACACGGGAACUCCCUGAUCCUCCAUUUUUAAAACCAGUGAUUAUAGCAUUUCCAAGCUCUCUUUCUCUCUCUGACCUCCUGCCUUCUUCUCAUAAGGACCUUUGUGAUUACAUUCAGCCCACACAGAUAAUCUCUCCAUCUCAAGAUUCUUACCUGAAUCACACCUAUAAUGUCUGUCCUGCCAUAAAAGAUAACAUAUUCACAAGUUCUGGGGAUUAGGAUAAGGCCAUCUCUACCAUCAGUAUACUGUAGCAGAGAUACAACAGAUUCUUAAAAAAUAAAGUAUGGGAGUUCCUGUCGUGGCA